RNAcentral lists this ribosomal RNA (253 nucleotides) under uncultured bacterium. RNAcentral describes it as "partial 16S ribosomal RNA". It matches the Rfam family "Bacterial small subunit ribosomal RNA", at positions 524 to 776 of the family's 1533-position model. The record is from RNAcentral.
UACGGAGGGAGCUAGCGUUGUUCGGAUAUACUGGGCGUAAAGCGCACGUAGGCGGCGCAGCAAGUCAGGGGUGAAAUCCCGGAGCUCAACUCCGGAACUGCCCUUGAAACUGCAGUGCUAGAAUCUUGGAGAGGCGAGUGGAAUUCCGAGUGUAGAGGUGAAAUUCGUAGAUAUUCGGAAGAACACCAGUGGCGAAGGCGACUCGCUGGACAAGUAUUGACGCUGAGGUGCGAAAGCGUGGGGAGCAAACAGG